CAGUGAAAUUGAACUCGCUGUGAAGAUGCAGUGUACCCGCGGCAAGACGGAAAGACCCCGUGAACCUUUACUAUAGCUUGACACUGAACAUUGAGCCUUGAUGUGUAGGAUAGGUGGGAGGCUUUGAAGUGUGGACGCCAGUCUGCAUGGAGCCGACCUUGAAAUACCACCCUUUAAUGUUUGAUGUUCUAACGUGGACCCGUGAUCCGGGUUGCGGACAGUGUCUGGUGGGUAGUUUGACUGGGGCGGUCUCCUCCUAAAGAGUAACGGAGGAGCACGAAGGUUGGCUAAUCCUGGUCGGACAUCAGGAGGUUAGUGCAAUGGCAUAAGCCAGCUUGACUGCGAGCGUGACGGCGCGAGCAGGUGCGAAAGCAGGUCAUAGUGAUCCGGUGGUUCUGAAUGGAAGGGCCAUCGCUCAACGGAUAAAAGGUACUCCGGGGAUAACAGGCUGAUACCGCCCAAGAGUUCAUAUCGACGGCGGUGUUUGGCACCUCGAUGUCGGCUCAUCACAUCCUGGGGCUGAAGUAGGUCCCAAGGGUAUGGCUGUUCGCCAUUUAAAGUGGUACGCGAGCUGGGUUUAGAACGUCGUGAGACAGUUCGGUCCCUAUCUGCCGUGGGCGCUGGAGAACUGAGGGGGGCUGCUCCUAGUACGAGAGGACCGGAGUGGACGCAUCACUGGUGUUCGGGUUGUCAUGCCAAUGGCACUGCCCGGUAGCUAAAUGCGGAAGAGAUAAGUGCUGAAAGCAUCUAAGCACGAAACUUGCCCCGAGAUGAGUUCUCCCUGAGACUUUAGGUCUCCUGAAGGAACGUUGAAGACGACGACGUUGAUAGGCCGGGUGUGUAAGCGCAGCGAUGCGUUGAGCUAACCGGUACUAAUGAACCGUGAGGCUUAACCUUACAACGCCGAAG
This 909-nucleotide ribosomal RNA is filed under the name Salmonella enterica subsp. enterica serovar Typhi str. CT18. RNAcentral describes it as "partial 23S ribosomal RNA". It matches the Rfam family "Bacterial large subunit ribosomal RNA", at positions 2034 to 2925 of the family's 2925-position model. Lineage: Bacteria; Pseudomonadati; Pseudomonadota; Gammaproteobacteria; Enterobacterales; Enterobacteriaceae. The record is from RNAcentral.